UUAUGGCGGGCCGAGUGGGGAGACCUCCGGGUCUGCCGGUUCUCCGUAGACCGGUUCGCCAGCCCCACUGUCGGGCCCGCCACCU
RNAcentral lists this non-coding RNA (85 nucleotides) under uncultured Ralstonia sp. Lineage: Bacteria; Pseudomonadati; Pseudomonadota; Betaproteobacteria; Burkholderiales; Burkholderiaceae. The record is from RNAcentral.